GCCUACGGGCCAUCCCACCCUGGUAACGCCCGAUCUCGUCUGAUCUCGGGAAGCUAAGCAGGGUCGGGCCUGGUUAGUACUUGGAUGGGAGACCUCCUGGAAUACCGGGUGCUGUAGGCU
This 120-nucleotide ribosomal RNA is filed under the name Gallus gallus (chicken). The record is from RNAcentral. Lineage: Eukaryota; Metazoa; Chordata; Aves; Galliformes; Phasianidae.